Bombus impatiens (common eastern bumble bee) is the source of this 309-nucleotide long non-coding RNA. RefSeq lists it as uncharacterized. The transcript is spliced from 3 exons. NCBI's taxonomy places the organism in Eukaryota, Metazoa, Arthropoda, Insecta, Hymenoptera, Apidae. The record is from RefSeq and is a predicted model, not a curated record.
CUUCUACCUUUCCAUGCGCUUCGGGAAGGAUGCAGUGAUACUUCAAAACUAAACGUGUUUAUCAUUCCUUCCUCUUCCUUCUGUUUCCUGAAAAGGAUCUAAUCUAACUUCAAAAGCCAAGAAUUUCUUUCCAUGAUGGGACUGCUGCAUGGCUUCUCUUUGAUGACGGUCUUCACAGCAUCGGUAGUCACCGACUAUGAUCCUCCCAUCUUAUUGUGAGUCGCAUGCAUUUUUGUUCCUCUGGUCACUCAAUCAUGUCGUAGGAUGAAAGGUCCGAAUCGACACGGGUGACUGGUUGUAUUACGUAGA